Bubalus bubalis (water buffalo) is the source of this 287-nucleotide long non-coding RNA. RefSeq lists it as uncharacterized. NCBI's taxonomy places the organism in Eukaryota, Metazoa, Chordata, Mammalia, Artiodactyla, Bovidae. The transcript has 3 exons. The record is from RefSeq and is a predicted model, not a curated record.
UUAAAGCUUUUUGCUUCUCCUAGGAAUAUUCAUUCAGCUCAAGAGCUGUUCGAGCAAAGGGCUGCACUCUGCUCACUUCCUGGUCCAUGAGAUAAUAUGUGGAGGCUCUGCCAAUCCUAUAUAUUCCUGUUGCAACCUGCCCGUAUAAUGACUGCAUCUCCAGGGACCAAUGGGACAAUCAGUGAGGAGUACAGAAGAUUUAGUCAGAAGGUCUGGGUUCAAAUCCAGUUCAUCACCUUCCCAGACUGCAAUUCACUUGAGGAGUCCUCCCCCAAGGCACUUUCAGU